This 434-nucleotide ribosomal RNA is filed under the name uncultured Salmonella sp. RNAcentral describes it as "bacterial SSU rRNA". It matches the Rfam family "Bacterial small subunit ribosomal RNA", at positions 958 to 1393 of the family's 1533-position model. The record is from RNAcentral. Lineage: Bacteria; Pseudomonadati; Pseudomonadota; Gammaproteobacteria; Enterobacterales; Enterobacteriaceae.
AACGCGAAGAACCUUACCUGGUCUUGACAUCCACAGAACCUUGUAGAGAUACGAGGGUGCCUUCGGGAACUGUGAGACAGGUGCUGCAUGGCUGUCGUCAGCUCGUGUUGUGAAAUGUUGGGUUAAGUCCCGCAACGAGCGCAACCCUUAUCCUUUGUUGCCAGCGGCCCGGCCGGGAACUCAAAGGAGACUGCCAGUGAUAAACUGGAGGAAGGUGGGGAUGACGUCAAGUCAUCAUGGCCCUUACGACCAGGGCUACACACGUGCUACAAUGGCGCAUACAAAGAGAAGCGACCUCGCGAGAGCAAGCGGACCUCAUAAAGUGCGUCGUAGUCCGGAUUGGAGUCUGCAACUCGACUCCAUGAAGUCGGAAUCGCUAGUAAUCGUGGAUCAGAAUGCCACGGUGAAUACGUUCCCGGGUCUUGUACACACGC